ACAAAAACUUCAAAACUACACAAGACAUUUGAAAAUACUGGGGUAUUGGACAAUCGUUUCCUCCAUGUAACUACCACCAAUGAUCAGAUCCUUUGUACUGGCCACAGACCUCAAUCACUAUCAGGAAUAGAACAGACCAACCAAUAUGAAAAUAAAACACAACAGUAGUAUGUAGACAGAUUCCAGACACAGACAACAGUUUUCUAAGACGUACAUCCCUACACACAAUCCACAUCAAAUCACUCUUGGACUUGAUCAAUAUUUAUCCAGUUGUGUUCUGCAAGACCAAACAAGUCCUCAUGUCGGUUUCAAUUCAUCUCUAAUUGUACAAUGCAAACAUUACUAUUCUACAUGUAGAUCACAAAAUUAAGUUUAGAUUUGUGCUACACCAUGUUAUGAACAACAGCUGCAAUAUUUCAUAAAUCACUGCUGUUGUAUUUGAACAAUAAGACCAUGUGUUUUCAUUAUUUGGUCUCAAUUUUAAUUCAAGCUGGAC
This is a long non-coding RNA of Pecten maximus, 496 nucleotides long. RefSeq lists it as uncharacterized. The record is from RefSeq and is a predicted model, not a curated record. NCBI's taxonomy places the organism in Eukaryota, Metazoa, Mollusca, Bivalvia, Pectinida, Pectinidae. The transcript is spliced from 3 exons.